Molecule: ribosomal RNA, 253 nt
Filed under: uncultured bacterium
Lineage: Bacteria
Description: partial 16S ribosomal RNA
Rfam family: Bacterial small subunit ribosomal RNA
Source: RNAcentral
GACAGAGGGUGCAAACGUUGUUCGGAAUUACUGGGCGUAAAGCGCGUGUAGGCGGCCAUCUAAGUCGGGCGUGAAAUCCCACGGCUCAACCGUGGAAGUGCACUCGAAACUGGAUGGCUAGAGUCCUGGAGAGGAAGGUGGAAUGCUUGGUGUAGAGGUGAAAUUCGUAGAGAUUAGGAAGAACACCAGUGGCGAAGGCGACUUACUGGACUGUAACUGACGCUGAGGCAUGAAAGCGUGGGGAGCAAACAGG